GGGUGAGUAAUGUCUGGGAAACUGCCUGAUGGAGGGGGAUAACUACUGGAAACGGUAGCUAAUACCGCAUAAUGUCGCAAGACCAAAGAGGGGACCUUCGGGCCUCUUGCCAUCAGAUGUGCCCAGAUGGGAUUAGCUAGUAGGUGGGGUAACGGCUCACCUAGGCGACGAUCCCUAGCUGGUCUGAGAGGAUGACCAGCCACACUGGAACUGAGACACGGUCCAG
Molecule: ribosomal RNA, 226 nt
Filed under: uncultured Enterobacterales bacterium
Lineage: Bacteria; Pseudomonadati; Pseudomonadota; Gammaproteobacteria; Enterobacterales
Description: partial 16S ribosomal RNA
Rfam family: Bacterial small subunit ribosomal RNA
Source: RNAcentral